Small nucleolar RNA from Manihot esculenta (cassava), 83 nucleotides. RefSeq annotates it as small nucleolar RNA R16. The transcript has a single exon. The record is from RefSeq and is a predicted model, not a curated record. Lineage: Eukaryota; Viridiplantae; Streptophyta; Magnoliopsida; Malpighiales; Euphorbiaceae.
GAAGGUAGAUGAUGAAUAAGUUAUUCUCUCACAUGCUGAAUUAACUGUGGACUUCAAAUCUCCGCUUAUUGUCUGAUGCCUUC